Molecule: ribosomal RNA, 526 nt
Filed under: uncultured Ilumatobacter sp.
Lineage: Bacteria; Bacillati; Actinomycetota; Acidimicrobiia; Acidimicrobiales; Ilumatobacteraceae
Description: bacterial SSU rRNA
Rfam family: Bacterial small subunit ribosomal RNA
Source: RNAcentral
CGCAGCCUGAUGCAGCACGCCGCGUGCGGGAAGACAGCCCUAGGGUUGUAAACCAGCUUUCAGUAGGGAAGAAAAUGACGGUACCUACAGAAGAAGGUGCGGCCAACUACGUGCCAGCAGCCGCGGUGACACGUAGGCACCAAGCGUUAUCCGGAUUUAUUGGGCGUAAAGAGCUCGUAGGCGGUUUGGUAAGUCGGGUGUGAAAACUCAGGGCUUAACCCUGAGACGCCACCCGAUACUGCCAUGACUUGAGUACGGUAGGGGAGCGGGGAACUCCUGUGUAGCGGUGAAAUGCGCAGAUAUCAGGAAGAACACCGGUGGCGAAGGCGCCGCUCUGGGCCGUAACUGACGCUGAGGAGCGAAAGCGUGGGUAGCAAACAGGAUUAGAUACCCUGGUAGUCCACGCCGUAAACGUUGGGCACUAGGUGUGGGUCUCAACUAACGAGAUCCGCGCCGUAGCUAACGCAUUAAGUGCCCCGCCUGGGGAGUACGGUCGCAAGACUAAAACUCGAGGAAAUUUGGAGGG